This is an RNA transcript of Cynoglossus semilaevis (tongue sole), 7022 nucleotides long. It is a transcript of the gene named E3 ubiquitin-protein ligase CBL-like, with no coding region annotated. The record is from RefSeq and is a predicted model, not a curated record. NCBI's taxonomy places the organism in Eukaryota, Metazoa, Chordata, Actinopteri, Pleuronectiformes, Cynoglossidae. The transcript has 16 exons.
UACUGGAAAUGCAGUGUUACCAAGCACUUCUGGGUGACAGCCUGGGGGAAGAACCUGUCGUCUGGUAUUUGAAAAUAGCACAGCUGACUGAAGGGGAAAUUUCAAACAGUUUGUGUUCAGGUUGAGUGAGAUCUGAGUUGUUUGCUUCUUGUUUCCUCAACUGUAGAUGCAAACAAGAAACAAACAAAUAAGCCUCAAUGCAAAACUAGUGUCGUACUAAAAUAUAAGAUUAAUGAUAUGAUUACGUUGCUUCGAGUGAAAUGUUCUUCACUGUAAAACAAAUGCAACCUCUUGCGCUUUAAUUUUGAAAACCCUUACCGGACAUCCUUGUUUACUCUUACUGCUGCUCUUAAGUCUGACUGUUGCGCUCGAGCUGUGAGCUUUAUCAGCAGCCUUUAACGUAAACCAGGCUCGGCCUCUCAAGUGGGGCUUUAACUCGCCGUCUACGGUGAAUGACAGCAAACUAUCUUUGCAGGAUACACCGCCACAAUGUCUUAAGCUCGAGUUCCGAUCAGUUAGUGUCUUUUUUCUCUGCUGUAACAUGUGUUAGCCAUUAGCUGCGUUACUGUACACACAGGCUUUUUGUUCUACUGCUGCUUAUUCAGCCUCUGCAGGACAAACUGGCACCGAUGUUCAGUACGGACCAGGCGCAAAAAUAGCAGUCGUAUUUUUUUUCAUAGGAAGAAGGAAAACCACCGUGCCGGUAAUAGAAAAAAAUAUUCCCGGUUGUCAACUUCAGCCCCGGGGCUGUCCCCCCCCCCGGUCGCAAAGCGAUUUAAUGGCCGGAAAUCCGCGGAGGGGCGCCGGUCUCAUCGGCUUGAUGAAGGACGCCUUUCAGCCGCACCAGCAGCCUCUCCAGCCUCACCAACCUGCCGUGGUCGACAAGAAGCUGGUAGAAAAAUGUUGGAAACUCAUGGACAAGGUGGUACGUUUGUGCCAGAACCCCAAAGUGGCUCUGAAGAACAGCCCGCCCUACAUCCUAGACCUGCUGCCAGAUACCUACCAGCACUUACGCACCAUUCUGUCCCGAUACGAGGGUAAAAUGGAGACCCUGGGGGAAAAUGAGUAUUUUCGUGUGGUCAUGGAGAACUUGACCAACAAGACGAAGCAGACAAUGAGCCUUUUUAAGGAGGCCAAGGAGAAAAUGUAUGAGGAGAAUUCCCAACCCAGACGAAACCUCACCAAACUGUCUCUGAUCUUUAGUCACAUGCUCGCAGAGCUAAAAGCCAUCUUCCCCAAUGGCCUGUUUCAGGGCGACAACUUCAGAAUCACCAAAGCUGACGCUGCAGAAUUUUGGAGACGGUCAUUUGGGGACAAGACCAUAGUGCCGUGGAGGACAUUUCGUCAGGCUCUCCAUGAGUUUCACCCCAUCAGCUCAGGCUUAGAGGCCAUGGCUUUGAAGUCCACCAUUGACCUCACCUGCAAUGACUACAUCUCCGUCUUUGAAUUUGAUAUAUUCACAAGACUUUUCCAGCCAUGGUCGUCCCUGUUAAGGAAUUGGAACAGUCUGGCUGUCACACAUCCUGGUUACAUGGCCUUUCUAACGUAUGAUGAGGUCAAAGCCCGGUUGCACCGGUUCAUCCACAAACCUGGCAGUUAUAUCUUUAGACUCAGCUGUACUCGACUGGGCCAGUGGGCAAUCGGCUACGUAACAGCUGACGGCAACAUCCUGCAGACCAUCCCCCAUAACAAACCGCUUUUCCAAGCCCUCAUUGAUGGAUACAGAGAAGGAUUCUAUCUGUUCCCUGAUGGACGUGCACAGAACCCAGACUUAACAGGUCUUUGUGAACCUUCUCCACAAGACCAUAUCAAAGUCACUCAGGAGCAGUAUGAGCUGUACUGUGAGAUGGGCUCCACAUUCCAGCUCUGUAAGAUCUGUGCAGAGAACGACAAGGACGUGAAGAUCGAGCCCUGCAGGCACCUGAUGUGCACUUCCUGUCUGACUGCGUGGCAGGAGUCAGAAGGUCAAGGCUGCCCCUUUUGCCGCUGUGAAAUUAAAGGCACGGAGCCCAUCGUAGUGGACCCCUUCCACCCUAAAGCCACCGGAGCCUCCUUUGCUGGUUUCCAGGGGUCCAGCAGAGCAGAAGCUGCUGGUAAUGAUGAAGAUGAUGAUGAUCGCAUGGAAGAUCAGCACCUUAUCAUGAGCAGGCUGGCCUGCAGCAAGGUGGAACGUCCAGCAUCUCCAGUGUCUCAGCUACCUCCAGUGCCCCCUAGACUGGACCUCCUGCAGCAGAGACCCUGCACCUCCCACAAUGCCCUGGCCCAGGGUGCAACAGCUAAGAUUGCAGCCACUCACAGAGACAAGCCUCUACCUCUGCCUCCAGCCCUUAGAGAGCUACCCCCUCCUCCUCCACCAGAGCGCCCCCCUCUGGUAGGCCAAGACUCCAGACUCCAGAGGAGACCUCUGCCCUCCACUCCAGACCAGUCCACCUGGGCUUCCAACUACAUGGUACCACGGCCUGCAACUAAGGCGCCAUCAGCCUUUAUACAGAUCAACGACAUCAGUGGAGAAGGAAGUAAACCUCAAUCAGCAACAAAUGCUGUCUACUGCCUGGCUGCAAGGGCCCUGCCACCAUCUGUGGCACUGAGCGGGGAGAAGUCGCCGUCGUCUGACUGUGAUGAGAAUGAGUACAUGAGUCCCACAUCUCUUCCAGCUCACGGUGCUUUGUCAGUCAUAACAGGCUCCUUGGUUCCUCCUCCACCACAACCACCACCACCAGCAGCCCAGAUAGACCACAAUGAUGUCAGUGAAAAGGCUGACAGUGACUCUGAAGACCCCCAGGUCUACGAGUCCAUGUGUAACAUUAAGGCCCAGGCUGGAUGCACCGAGAUGGCACAGUCCUCUGAUAUGGAUCAUCCUCAACAUACCACAGCGGGUUUCCAAGACAAGACAGAAGACUCAAUGCAGGAAGAGGCUUACAUUUAUGACUCUCCUAGACCAGUCAUCCCUCCAGCUCCCACCAGAAGAACCCUGUCAGAUAUGAGUGGACCCAUGGCUGCUUUUAGUGCUCUCAGCAUUGACAGUGCAGUAGAAACUGGUAUGUUUGUUUCAGCUGGUGUUGAUCCUGAACGUCCUCCCAAACCCCUCCCGCGGCGAGCAAACUCUGACCGGAGGCCACGUCCUUUGAAUCGUGAAUAUCCUGCCCCUUUGCCAGAACUCCCUGGCACCUCCUCAACCCUGCCCCUUCCUCCUCCACCUCUCCCUCCUGCUCCCACAGUAGCAGGAAGCAUGGCCCUCAAUGGUGAGAUUGAAUGCCUAAUGUCACAGGGCUACUCUAUCCAGGACAUCCAGAAAGCUCUCAUGAUCGCUCAGAACAACCUGGAGACAGCCAAGAACAUCCUUCGAGAGUUUGUCACCAUCCCCUCUGCGGCGCACAUCGCCACUUAGGCACAGUCUUCACACACCCAGUGAUACUUCUCUCCUGUUUGGUCGUCAUUCUGUUCUCACUUUGUGCCAAUAUAAUAGGUAAAUGGAUAGAAUUAACCAAGCACUUUCAUGCAGGGCUAUGAGCACAAGUUCCUGCCAUUCCUAGGAUGUCCACUGAGGGGUAAGGCUGUGAUCAUGUCAUAUCAGAAAAUAGAAAAAAAAAAUGUCAACGUGACAUUCUAUGGAUUUCCUGAUUAGCCUUUUGGUCCUUGAACAUUUCACUUAAGGUAUUGGCUGAUACCAGUCCAAAAUGUUUGACGACAUUUUAAUGUGGGAGGAUCAAUGUAAGAGAUUAAAAAAUGACACUGGUGAGCGAAAAGGGGAUUUUUCAGGUUAAACUGUAUUAAGUGCACCCUCUGCUGGAACACAAAGUAACUACUUAUGACAUUCUGGGGUAAACUUGAACAAAGGGAAAACCUGAAAAAUUUGAACCUUGGCUCCCUAUAAGAUACUUAUUACAACAUAAUAUUCCCUUAUGUUUGCGACUUUAUCUUCUGACAUUAGCUGCGUUCAUAAUGCAACUGAUAGAAUGGCAAUGAGAUUUUCUUUUUCCAUCUCAAAUCCACUUGAAAAUGCAAAGAGUAUAAUACUUAAAAACAAAAUGGGAUGUUGUUAGUUAGUUCCAUCUUAUUCUUAGUAGCCACUAAAUCAUGUUCACAUUUUGGUGAGAUUGGAGGUUUUGGCCAAGGCAAUUGCAGUAUCAUUUAGCUGUUGGGGAAAGCAUUUCAUUUCAAGGCUUCAAAGUAGCAUUACAGUGAUCUGAUAUGGCGCUAUUGCAGCAAACAAGUCCUUAAAAUUAGUCCUUGAAAAUCUUGUUUCUGUAGCAUUGCUUUGACCUCGUUACAGUAAGGUUUGAGGCCUAGUUUACAUGAAUCGCUUUUUUAAACUGUCAUCCACAUAAGUAAUGGGUUUUGGUCACUGCUUAACCUUGCUGUUAUGAAGAGAUAGGUCAACUGUGGGUCAACCAAUUUUUUUCAGCUCUAAAAAAUGUCUGCCCAUAAAGGACCGAUAGGAGUACAGAUACUAUCUAGAUGGAGAUUACACGACAUUGGUCUAGAUCCGAGGUGGAUUUAUAUAAGACACUUCUCAGAAGAAGAAGUUGGACUAAUCGAAUAGACAAGAAAGUCCAAGUUAAUUUGCAUAAUCUGUUUCAUCUAGUCAUUUUAGUAAAUCAUUCCUGGUACUGGAGGAUACAGGUUACUGAGCAGUGGAAAUGUGACAUAAUUGUUUGUAGACAGGCAAAGGGAAAACUUCAAAUUUCCAACAUGCCUGCUUACCUGUGACAUAAGCCUAAAUACCUUUAUUCAUUAAGCUUUGGGUUGUUUUUUUUUUUUUUUUAUAUGACUCCGAGACUCACCCCUGGCAGCUGCUUUAUGGUGCUUUUACGGGCUUGUCUGCAAUGUUAUGGCAUUCAAAUAUGAAGUGAUGUGAGUUACAGUCAGGAAAUUAGUAAUUAACUCCAUAGUGUGUCUAUGUCUGUGCGCGUGUGUGAGUGUUGAUGCUUAUGUACUGUACGUGAGUGUUCAGUUGCAGUGCAGUAUUGCAAGGUUCUGUACGUGUCUCUGUGGCUCUCCCUCAUUUUUGGAUGACUCCAUAUCUUCUCUCAGUCCUAAAUCAACAAUAGGUCAAACUUUAAAAAAAAUAAAAUAACAAGAUAAAUGUCUCUGUACUUUAAAAAAACAUGUCAUGCUGUGUGGUACUAACAUUGGCAGAAUUCUGACAAGUUGAUUGAUUUCUCUGGUUUACUGAAGGCUGAUUUAUUUUGUCAAAACUAAUGUAUUGUCGUGUACUUUUUUUUGUACUUUUACAACAUUGCCAUAUUUAUAUUAAGAACAUUUAAAUAUCUGACAAAUUAUGGCGAAAGGAGUCGCACUGAGGCAAACAAAAAUAGUGGACUCAGGUACUCAGUAUUAAGUCAGGGUUCUAUAAACUAAGUAAUGACAGGAAGUUAAUUAUGACUGUAUUUUCUUGCUCAUCAUAUUGAAUUUACAUAUUCUUUUAAAUCGAGUCUUUGUUAUUAGUCCACCCAGGGAUUAGUGAUCAAUUCAUGUUUCUGGUCUAAUCACAUACGCCCUUUGCCAUUGGUUAACAUUGGUAAAAGUUAAUUAAUUGGCCCCCAAGGUAUAAGGCAGGGCCCCCAUGUAGAUCACACAGCUAUUACAUUGACGGCCUAGCAAGUCUCAAUUUUAUUUUUUAUUUAUUUGUGCCACAGUGGAGAAAAUUACAGCGAUUUCUAAUUCUACUUCUUUUGUUGAAUGAUAAUAUCAGUUUUGUAGGAAUUACAGAGGCGUUCUAAAUAAUAGCGGCGAAUGUGUCGAUGUGGGGUGGGCUUAAAAAUAUCCCUAUCUAUGUUGCAGUCCUAUCUUUGAAGACCACAGGGUUAAUUUUACAUCAAAAGUUAAUUCAGUAAUGUUGUAAGUUAAAACAUACAUACAUGAACUCUGUUUCAUAUAAAACUUACACUGAGAUUAUUCACUAGUGAUACGACACGUGCAAUUCAUCCCGUUUGCCUUCUUCGAAACAGUUUCUGAAUGUGCCUUCAGUCAAUCUCAGUCUGAACCAUUCAACAGAGAAAAAAACAAAACUCUGUCCACCUUACUUUGGGCCUUUAAGUUCUCACUGAAGAUAUUUACUGACAGCUUGGAGGGGGGUCUUUUAAUGUUUGGGCAUUAAAUAAUUAGCCAACUUUUUAAACUAUAUACAUCCAUAAAACCAGGUUGAUCCAGUGUGUUUUCUCAUAUAUAAACAGACUAACUAAAGCUAACUAAGAAAAUGAAACUUUUAAGCCAUGACCUUGGUUUUUUUUUUUCUUGGAAUUGGGAAAUAUUUCCUCUAAUACACUGUAAACUGUUAAAUUAUACAUAUGUCUAACAGUAAAUACUAGGCAGAUGUCUGAGGUUUCUUGUUACGUUUUUACUGAUAUUUGUUGGAUUUUGUGUUUUCCUUAUAUACAGAUUUUAUUUAUAUUUAAAUUUUACUCCAUAACUGUUCUGACUUAAAUACAGUGCAAGGGCUGGUAAAAAAAAAACAAAAACAAACACUUGUGUCAAGGUUAGACUGUCUGCACUGCCUCCACAUGCAGCUGAGGUCUGUAAAUAAGGCAUGAGAUUUCGUUAUCUUGGUGAAACCUCACAGAAAGUUACAGCUUUAAAGCCCUGAACAAAAAGCAUGUGAAAGCAGCUAGUUUCUUUACAGCGUCUUCUCAGCCUCUGUUUGAUACAGAGGGUACAAGACCUUAGUUUAUCUGAGUUUUCAAUUACCCUAUCUAGGCUUUUACUACUUAACAGGACUAACACUCUGGGCCAUGAACGAUGACAGGGAAAACAGUUGUGGGAAGAAGAAAAAACACAUGCAUACAAAUACACUCCCUGUUAGCCAGUUUGAUAAGCUCAGACCUCUGGUUAAUGAUAUAUAUACAUAUAUAACAUUGUUAACUCGCCUUUUCAACAACAACAAAACGUACCUACUAAUGUCUUCAUUGCUUUUGUUUGCUAUGUAAAUAUGAUUUUAUUUAUUGUCUUUUUAAUUCCCCCUGUGUUGCCAUGUUCUCAUGCCUAAGCCAUUAAGAUUUUUAAUUAAACAGUAUUUUCUUUAA